GCCUGGGUGGCGGAAUUGGUAGACGCAAGGGACUUAAAAUCCCUUGGGACCAUGUCCCGUGCGGGUUCGACUCCCGCCCCAGGCACCA
This 88-nucleotide transfer RNA is filed under the name Deltaproteobacteria bacterium. RNAcentral describes it as "tRNA-Leu". It matches the Rfam family "tRNA". From Rfam's summary of the family: Transfer RNA (tRNA) molecules are approximately 80 nucleotides in length. RNAcentral also lists the same sequence under 1 other name. Lineage: Bacteria; Pseudomonadati; Myxococcota; Myxococcia. The record is from RNAcentral.